GACGAACGCUGGCGGCGUGCUUAACACAUGCAAGUCGAACGGAAAGGCCCUGCUUUUGUGGGGUGCUCGAGUGGCGAACGGGUGAAUAACACGUGAGUAACCUGCCCUUGACUUUGGGAUAACUUCAGGAAACUGGUGCUAAUACCGGAUAGGAGCUCCUGCUGCAUGGUGGGGGUUGGAAAGUUUCGGCGGUUGGGGAUGGACUCGCGGCUUAUCAGCUUGUUGGUGGGGUAGUGGCUUACCAAGGCUUUGACGGGUAGCCGGCCUGAGAGGGUGACCGGCCACAUUGGGACUGAGAUACGGACCAGACUCCUACGGGAGGCAGCAGUGGGGAAUAUUGCACAAUGGGCGGAAGCCUGAUGAAGCAACGCCGCGUGCGGGAUGACGGCCUUCGGGUUGUAAACCGCUUUCGCCUGUGACGAAGCGUGAGUGACGGUAAUGGGUAAAGAAGCACCGGCUAACUACGUG
RNAcentral lists this ribosomal RNA (468 nucleotides) under uncultured bacterium. Its description in RNAcentral is "partial 16S ribosomal RNA". It matches the Rfam family "Bacterial small subunit ribosomal RNA", at positions 28 to 507 of the family's 1533-position model. The record is from RNAcentral.